Molecule: long non-coding RNA, 2129 nt
Organism: Eleginops maclovinus (Patagonian blennie)
Lineage: Eukaryota; Metazoa; Chordata; Actinopteri; Perciformes; Eleginopidae
Exons: 3
Source: RefSeq, a predicted model, not a curated record
UCGAAUGAAGGUUGAAAACGAGAGAGGUGGACACAGGACAAAAAGCGAAAGCAGGAGAGAGGAGUCUUUCUUCCAGCGUAAUUAGUUUUUAGUUAGCCCCAAAGCUAAACUACGACACAAACUCUCCCGAGUAGUUGAACACCUGAGUAGCCCCCGCACAGCGCUGCCUCCCUAAUGCCACGGUCGUCAACAUGAACAUCGGACGGCGCGUGGUUACGUUUGUCAAACUUUACCAGCUCUGAAAAGUUUGUUUUAGGGAGUAGGUCCAGGCAUUGAUAAAACACGAACAGAAACCUUGUCGUCAAGCGGCUCUCUCACCGCCUCUCUUCGUGUCUGAAUACGUCUGUGAGGAGGGAUAGAGUCGGUCUGUCCGGUGGUUACCUGACUCCAGUCAUUACCGAGAGGCCAGCCCUCCACACAGCAGCAGCAGCGGCGGCAGCAGCAGCAGCCUCAUGUUUCCUGUUGAUCUGAAUAACUGCAAACCAGAUACACAGCUUCGAAAGUAACAGGUUAAGGUGCUCAAGGCCCUUAUCAUGGUACCAGCACUGAUGAGGUUGACUGUGGGUAUCCAUCGCUAAUGCAGGUUAACUUAUGCCGGUGCCCUUUGUUAAGGAGCGCGGGGUCAAAACAUUUUGGUGACACCCAGCCGCUGGGUUGACUCGUGCCAUAUUUAUAAGGUAGGUUUUUGUGGAGUUUACCAUUUAAUUUGAAUGAUCAGUCAGAUUUAUAUACACUACCCAUCUCUCUGUGUAUGCAGGAUUUCAGGUCUAGCUGUUUUGUUCAGUAUGGAUUGUUUUGUUCCUUGUGUCUUAUGUAUUUGACAAGGACAGAUUGGUUGGACUUGUAUUGAGGAGUAAUUAAUUGGGAGAACAUUUCGUUUGUAACUUAAUAAUACUGGCCCAAGUUUGCCUUCAUACUAUUCACACCAAAAAAAGUGUCCUCAUGUAUUACAUCAUGUCACUACAUGUAUUGACUCUGGUGUGGGAAAGACGGACCAAAGGCACCAUUCAAAUACUUGAGAGCUUCAUGAAAUACAACUAGGCUAAGCUAUUUUUAUGGUUAUUUCAUUAUGACUUACUCAUGUAUAAUUUAUACUACAAUAUAAUUCAGUCUCAUUUUAUCACGAUUAAUUGCUUUUUUAAUUCCCCCAAAUCUGGUGUAUGCACCCCUGAAGUACUAUUGUUACAACGUCUUUAGAGAUGGUCACGGUUUUAGAUGCAUGAAUUACAGCACUGCUGACCUGUACUGUAUCUUCUUUUAUAAUCCCAUUUUCCUAAAAAUCUGAUUAAUUCUUUAUGGCUGAAAUUCCCCAGCAUGGCAAUUUUAAGUGAGAAUGUCCUUGGCGGUGAUCCACAGUGAUAGUGUAUGAAAUGAGCACAUCUACUGACUCGGCCUACUUCUGAUUUCCCAAGACAAGAGAGUCUCUACAUUAAGAAACACGCACUGGCUCUUAUCAAACAGCUUCUCCGUAACGCCAUGGCCACUCAGUCUCUCUGUCCUUUUUGUGUGCAUGUGUUUGUGGGGGGAGGUAUUUGUCAGUAUAGCAAGCUUUGCUUAACAAUACUGCAUGCAUGUGCUUUUGUGAUCUGUGUGUUCAUGCAAAGUGUACCAGCACCUUCUAUAGAGUGCUCUUUGUUCCCUUGUGUGUGCGUUUGUAUGUGCUUUUGUAGCAUACUGUAGAAAAAGCACUAUUUGUUUCUGUUUGUUCUUGUUUUUUUGUUCACACAAGUCAAGUGUAAAAGGGGACGACAUCAGUGGUUGCUAAUGUGAGGUUCAUGUGUACUACUUACAUUUUGUGAGUCAAAAAUGUUGUGGAAACCUCUGACAGCUGGAUGCCAGUUGGUUUGGUUUUAACAUAGCAUACUUAAAGUGGCUUAUUUGUAUGUCUAUGGUUGUGUGAAUAGGAUUGCAUGCUAACAGAUAUUGGCUUUUGCAAUACCCGGAUAUGGCAUCUAUGGAAUUGGUUGGAUUAGAGAUCAUGUUAGCAGCUAAUUAAGAGGCAUGGUUAUGGUUUGGGUCAGUUAACUAAGACAAACAACAUUGAUCACAUUUUUAGUUUCUAUGGUGAACAUGUUUAUAUGCAGGGAGCUACUGUUCACCUGUGAGAUGGCUAUAUAUCUGCUGUUAGG